Molecule: small nucleolar RNA, 199 nt
Filed under: Castor canadensis (American beaver)
Lineage: Eukaryota; Metazoa; Chordata; Mammalia; Rodentia; Castoridae
Description: Small nucleolar RNA U3 (ENSCCNG00000024846.1)
Rfam family: Small nucleolar RNA U3
About the family: Small nucleolar RNAs (snoRNAs) are involved in the processing and modification of rRNA in the nucleolus. There are two main classes of snoRNAs: the box C/D class, and the box H/ACA class.
Source: Rfam by way of RNAcentral
AAGACUAUAAUUUCAGGGAUCAUUUCUGUAGUUUGUUACUAGAGAAGUUUCUCUGAUGGUGUAGAGUACCUGAAACCACAAGGAAGAGGCAUAAAGUUCUUACCAGCUCUUGGUGCUGCUCAUUGCAGCUGCCAUUUGCCAUUGAUGAUUGUUCUUUUCCUCUGGAGAAGCAAGAGGGUGAGGACAUUGUCUGAGUGGU